Molecule: long non-coding RNA, 419 nt
Organism: Argiope bruennichi
Lineage: Eukaryota; Metazoa; Arthropoda; Arachnida; Araneae; Araneidae
Exons: 3
Source: RefSeq, a predicted model, not a curated record
GGACGAAUGACACUUUAGAUAUUGCUAAUUCCCCUCUCUUGUGUUUCCGUUACUCAUCUCUGAUUAAGAAGAGAAAUAUUCCUAUGUAAAACUCUGACGAAUUAUGCGAGCAUUUAUAGUAAAAGCGAUCUUCCUCGUGUGUCUGGGAGUUUUAUUAUAUGCGACAGUGUCAGAAGGAAUCUUAGUAAAAAAACUUCUGAAGUUCCUUUUCGAAAAAAGAAAUGUGGUACUUUUUCCUGUUCCCAUUCCUAUUUUCAGAAAAAUUUCGCCCCCUGUUAAGCAAGCAAGUUUUGAACUUCAUCAUGAGGAAGUAUUUCCAGGCCCUGCAGAUUAUAUAAUUCCACCACCACCACCCAAUCCACCUUUUCCACCUUAUGAUGAUUUCGCGUAUCCAUAUCCUUGACAAAGGGAAAACUGAG